RNAcentral lists this ribosomal RNA (460 nucleotides) under uncultured bacterium. RNAcentral's name for it is "partial 16S ribosomal RNA". It matches the Rfam family "Bacterial small subunit ribosomal RNA", at positions 338 to 795 of the family's 1533-position model. The record is from RNAcentral.
CCUACGGGCGGCAGCAGUGAGGAAUAUUGGUCAAUGGGCUUACGCCUGAACCAGCAAAGCCGCGUGAAGGAAGACUGCCCUAUGGGUUGUAAACCUCUUUUUUCAGGGAGCAUUUGGCGCUACGUGUAGCGUUAUCGAGAGUACCUGAAUAAAAAGCAUCGGCAACGUCGGUGCCAGCAGCCCCGGGAAUACGGGGGAUGCGAGCGUUAUCCGGAUUUAUGGGGUUUAAUGGGUGCGUAGGCGGAAUGCCAAGUCAGCGGUAAAAUCGCGGGGCUCAACCUCGCUCCGCCGUUGAAACUGGCGUUCUUGAGUGGGCGAGAAGUAUGCGGAAUGCGUGGUGUAGCGGUGAAAUGCAUAGAUAUCACGCAGAACUCCGAUGGCGAAGGCAGCAUACCGGCGCCCAACUGACGCUGAGGCACGAAAGCGUGGGUAGCGAACAGGAUUAGAUACCCUAGUAGUC